CCUACGGGCGGCAGCAGUGGGGAAUAUUGGACAAUGGGGGGAACCCUGAUCCAGCCAUGCCGCGUGUGUGAAGAAGGCCCUCGGGUUGUAAAGCACUUUCAGUGAGGAAGAACGCCUGGUGGUUAAUACCCAUCAGGAAAGACAUCACUCACAGAAGAAGCACCGGCUAACUCCGUGCCAGCAGCCGCGGUAAUACGGAGGGUGCGAGCGUUAAUCGGAAUUACUGGGCGUAAAGCGCGCGUAGGUGGCUUGAUAAGCCGGUUGUGAAAGCCCCGGGCUCAACCUGGGAACGGCAUCCGGAACUGGCAAGCUAGAGUGCAGGAGAGGAAGGUAGAAUUCCCGGUGUAGCGGUGAAAUGCGUAGAGAUCGGGAGGAAUACCAGUGGCGAAGGCGGCCUUCUGGACUGACACUGACACUGAGGUGCGAAAGCGUGGGUAGCAAACAGGAUUAGAUACCCCUGUAGUC
Molecule: ribosomal RNA, 465 nt
Filed under: Vreelandella stevensii
Lineage: Bacteria; Pseudomonadati; Pseudomonadota; Gammaproteobacteria; Oceanospirillales; Halomonadaceae
Description: partial 16S ribosomal RNA
Rfam family: Bacterial small subunit ribosomal RNA
Source: RNAcentral